RNAcentral lists this ribosomal RNA (250 nucleotides) under uncultured fungus. RNAcentral describes it as "partial 26S ribosomal RNA". It matches the Rfam family "Eukaryotic large subunit ribosomal RNA", at positions 36 to 282 of the family's 3401-position model. Lineage: Eukaryota; Fungi. The record is from RNAcentral.
UGCCAUAUCAAUAGCGGAGGAAAAGAAACCAACCGGGAUUGCCUUAGUAACGGCGAGUGAAGCGGCAAAAGCUCAAAUUUGAAAUCUGGUACCUUUCGGUGCCCGAGUUGUAAUUUGGAGAAAGUGAUUCUGGGACUGGCCCUUGCCUAUGUUCCUUGGAACAGGACGUCAUAGAGGGUGAGAACCCCGUGAGGCGAGGUGAUCCAGUUCUUUGUAGAACGCUUUCGAAGAGUCGAGUAGUUUGGGAAUC